This 600-nucleotide ribosomal RNA is filed under the name uncultured Alphaproteobacteria bacterium. Its description in RNAcentral is "bacterial SSU rRNA". It matches the Rfam family "Bacterial small subunit ribosomal RNA", at positions 54 to 700 of the family's 1533-position model. Lineage: Bacteria; Pseudomonadati; Pseudomonadota; Alphaproteobacteria. The record is from RNAcentral.
CAUGCAAGUCGAGCGCUCACUUCGGUGAGAGCGGCAGACGGGUGAGUAACGCGUGGGAAUCUACCUAGUACUACGGAAUAACAGUUGGAAACGACUGCUAAUACCGUAUACGCCCUUCGGGGGAAAGACUUAUCGGUAUUAGAUGAGCCCGCGUUGGAUUAGUUAGUUGGUGGGGUAACGGCCUACCAAGGCGACGAUCUAUAGCUGGUCUGAGAGGAUGAUCAGCCACACUGGGACUGAGACACGGCCCAGACUCCUACGGGAGGCAGCAGUGGGGAAUAUUGGACAAUGGGCGCAAGCCUGAUCCAGCCAUGCCGCGUGAGUGAUGAAGGCCCUAGGGUUGUAAAGCUCUUUCGCAGGUGAAGAUAAUGACGGUAACCUGUAAAGAAGCCCCGGCUAACUUCGUGCCAGCAGCCGCGGUAAUACGAAGGGGGCUAGCAUUGUUCGGAAUUACUGGGCGUAAAGCGCACGUAGGCGGAUUGGUCAGUUAGGGGUGAAAUCCCGGAGCUCAACUCCGGAACUGCCUUUAAUACUGCCAGUCUUGAGUCCGAGAGAGGUAAAUGGAACUCCUAGUGUAGAGGUGGAAUUCGUAGAUAUUAG